GCAACAUUCGCGGCGAUUCAAAAUAAAAGAAGAAUUGGACCUCUGCCUACCAUGCUCCAUUGGCUGUCCAGCGCAUUCCUCAAGCCUUUUCACCACUUGUGACAGGGGGCAUCUUCCACUCCUUACCAUCCUCUUUAUUUUCUUGAGACAAUUUACAAAUUUAAAAGCGCUACAAUUGUCCAAUCCUCCAAAGGUCACGGCAUCCUCCACAAUGUGCAACAUUGAGUGCACGUUGUAGACCAGAAACUGGUUACCAUAAAGUUCUCGGCCUCUCUCAACAAAGAAUCGGAGGAGAUCAGCAGCAUAUCUCCAGUGUUGCUCGACCAAUGCUGGACUUACAACUCUUUAAGAUCUCUCGGUUUGCGAGCGAAGCUGGAAGGGAUGUGUGGACGGAGGUUGGUGAGCCUGCUGCUGACCUCCUCUAUUUGGGUUGCCGACAUCUUCAGGCCCUUCACUCCUCUGCACCACAUGAAGAGAAGCCUCUUCAUUACACCCAAGCAUGCCUGGUGCAUGUAAUCGAUGGGAAAUGCACUGAUCAUGUUUAUGGGUAAAUCCAAAAGCGGGGUGCUGCCAUGAUGAUGCUCGCCCUGUGUCUGUUGGCGGAAGGAGUCGUCACUACGAGCCACCACCUCUGUGUCUUGGCCACUGGACAGGAGGUUGUUGACAUCCAUCACCAUGUCUUCCAGGAAUUCCAGAUUCUGUGGCUUCGAACCUCCACAAGUCAGGGUGAUAGGGAAGACUGACACUGGUUUUAAAUGGACAGCACAAAGGAUGGGCCACAUUGUUCUUCCUGAGCUCUUAAACAGAGGUAGCCCAUCUACGUUGAAGGAAAGGUCAACACAGUCGGGGACCUGGUCUGCUGGGUAUCUCAAUAGAGUCUGUUGCAAUUUGUCCUUGAUAGGAAAAUGGACAUACUCCAUACCAGACUUUGAUGUGAUCCUGACCUCCCUUGGUGUCUUCAGGAGUGUCCUGGUGGUGGAAGGCAGGUCAGUGUGUCCGUGACCUCUCAAAACUUUCAAAAGGUCAUCAACAGCAUUGUGUUUCACCUGAAACUGGCAAGCCCAGCUAGCGAGGUCAGAUGCGAGCGAUGCCGGACGCUGGUCGGACGCCUCCAGGUCAUCCCCAAAAACCACUUCCUCCUCAUCAUCAGAGGGAUCAACAUCCAUCCAGUCAUCGAGGUCAUCCUCCAAAGCAGAACGAUCCUCAAAUGACUCAUCCAAGUCCAAGGAGUUGUCCAUGUCACCAAUAGGCGCAAGAACACCGGAUGGACUGCUGGACAAGCUGGCAUCAGCCACAUGGUGUUCUGUGACACAAACACUGGCAGUGCUUUCAGCUAUCCUAUUCAUCACUUGUUUAGCAGAUCUCCAUGAACGGAGGUACUGCCUUGCCCGUAACUGUUUUUCCUCACUCAUCCUGUGAAAUAAAAUGUUUCACAUUUUAA
Molecule: long non-coding RNA, 1441 nt
Organism: Gadus morhua (Atlantic cod)
Lineage: Eukaryota; Metazoa; Chordata; Actinopteri; Gadiformes; Gadidae
Exons: 3
Source: RefSeq, a predicted model, not a curated record